RNAcentral lists this ribosomal RNA (495 nucleotides) under uncultured bacterium. Its description in RNAcentral is "partial 16S ribosomal RNA". It matches the Rfam family "Bacterial small subunit ribosomal RNA", at positions 28 to 507 of the family's 1533-position model. The record is from RNAcentral.
GACGAACGCUGGCGGCGUGCCUAAUACAUGCAAGUAGAACGCUGAAGGAGGAGCUUGCUUCUCUGGAUGAGUUGCGAACGGGUGAGUAACGCGUAGGUAACCUGCCUGGUAGCGGGGGAUAACUAUUGGAAACGAUAGCUAAUACCGCAUAAUAGUAGAUGUUGCAUGACAUUUGCCUAAAAGGUGCAAUUGCAUCACUACCAGAUGGACCUGCGUUGUAUUAGCUAGUUGGUGGGGUAACGGCUCACCAAGGCGACGAUACAUAGCCGACCUGAGAGGGUGAUCGGCCAAACUGGGACUGAGACACGGCCCAGACUCCUACGGGAGGCAGCAGUAGGGAAUCUUCGGCAAUGGACGGAAGUCUGAACGAGCAACGCCGCGUGAGUGAAGAAGGUUUUCGGAUCGUAAAGCUCUGUUGUAAGAGAAGAACGAGUGUGAGAGUGGAAAGUUCACACUGUGACGGUAUCUUACCAGAAAGGGACGGCUAACUACGUG